RNAcentral lists this ribosomal RNA (434 nucleotides) under uncultured bacterium. Its description in RNAcentral is "bacterial SSU rRNA". It matches the Rfam family "Bacterial small subunit ribosomal RNA", at positions 92 to 518 of the family's 1533-position model. The record is from RNAcentral.
CGACCGGCGCACGGGUGAGUAACGCGUAUCCAACCUUCCCCGUUAGUAGAGGAUAGCCCGGCGUAAAGUCGGAUUAAUACUCUAUGUUCUUCAAUGCGGACAUCUAAGUUGAAGCAAAGAUUUAUCGCUAAGGGAUGGGGAUGCGUCUGAUUAGGUUGCAGGCGGGGUAACGGCCCACCUGGCCUACGAUCAGUAGGGGUUCUGAGAGGAAGGUCCCCCACACUGGUACUGAGACACGGACCAGACUCCUACGGGAGGCAGCAGUGAGGAAUAUUGGUCAAUGGGGCGCGAGCCUGAACCAGCCAAGUAGCGUGCAGGAACCGACUUGCCCUAUGGGUUGUAAACUGCUUUUAUCAGGGAAUAAAGUGAGGCACGCGUGCCUUUUUGUAUGUACCUGAUGAAUAAGGACCGGCUAAUUCCGUGCCAGCAGCGGC